ACGGACACCCUAAAGAGUCGCACCGCUCAAAGCGGCUCUAUUCCAUCCCGAU
RNAcentral lists this non-coding RNA (52 nucleotides) under unclassified sequences. The record is from RNAcentral.